GGGCGAUUAGCUCAGUUGGAUAGAGCGUUGGCCUCCGGAGCCAAAGGUCGUGGGUUCGAAUCCCACAUCGCCCUCCA
Molecule: transfer RNA, 77 nt
Filed under: delta proteobacterium MLS_D
Lineage: Bacteria; Deltaproteobacteria
Also listed under: 1 other name
Description: tRNA-Arg
Rfam family: tRNA
About the family: Transfer RNA (tRNA) molecules are approximately 80 nucleotides in length.
Source: RNAcentral